Molecule: long non-coding RNA, 201 nt
Filed under: Setaria viridis
Lineage: Eukaryota; Viridiplantae; Streptophyta; Magnoliopsida; Poales; Poaceae
Description: long non-coding RNA (SVIR_LNC000948)
Source: RNAcentral
GCGCGCGCUUGGGUUAGGUGCAAACCCACGUGCCAGUUUGGCGGUUUGGAUCGAUUCUCUCGUGGUCAUGGCUUAUUAGAUUAGGUGCUCUGGUAUCUACGGUGUACUUGUCUGCGUCUCCUAGUAGUUUGUUUAUUUCCGAGGCCAGUGAGUAAAUUAAAUGAAUGAAGGCAGUGUUUUUUUUGGGUAUUUUAGUUUAUU